CCUACGGGGGGCAGCAGUGAGGAAUAUUGGUCAAUGGGCUUACGCCUGAACCAGCCAAGUCGCGUGAGGGAAGACUGCCCUAUGGGUUGUAAACCUCUUUUGUCAGGGAGCAACGCCGGCUACGUGUAGCCGGACUGAGAGUACCUGAAGAAAAAGCAUCGGCUAACUCCGUGCCAGCAGCCGCGGUAAUACGGAGGAUGCGAGCGUUAUCCGGAUUUAUUGGGUUAAAAGGGUGCGUAGGCGGACUGCCAAGUCAGCGGUAAAAUCGCGGGGCUCAACCUCGCUCCGCCGUUGAAACUGGCGGUCUUGAGUGGGCGAGAAGUAUGCGGAAUGCGUGGUGUAGCGGUGAAAUGCAUAGAGAUCACGCAGAACUCCGAUUGCGAAGGCAGCAUACCGGCGCCCAACUGACGCUGAAGCACGAAAGCGUGGGUAUCGAACAGGAUUAGAUACCCCAGUAGUC
This 460-nucleotide ribosomal RNA is filed under the name uncultured bacterium. RNAcentral describes it as "partial 16S ribosomal RNA". It matches the Rfam family "Bacterial small subunit ribosomal RNA", at positions 338 to 795 of the family's 1533-position model. The record is from RNAcentral.